UAUAUGUUAGUGUUAAAUGCAUAAAAAAGUUUUGAUCUUUUAGGUUUUGGUGAAAAUCCCUUACAUAUAA
Molecule: transfer RNA, 70 nt
Filed under: Pagurus lanuginosus
Lineage: Eukaryota; Metazoa; Arthropoda; Malacostraca; Decapoda; Paguridae
Description: tRNA-Gln
Source: RNAcentral